RNAcentral lists this ribosomal RNA (497 nucleotides) under uncultured bacterium. RNAcentral describes it as "partial 16S ribosomal RNA". It matches the Rfam family "Bacterial small subunit ribosomal RNA", at positions 28 to 507 of the family's 1533-position model. The record is from RNAcentral.
GAUGAACGCUGGCGGCGUGCCUAAUACAUGCAAGUCGAGCGAACAGAUGAGGAGCUUGCUCCUCUGACGUUAGCGGCGGACGGGUGAGUAACACGUGGAUAACCUACCUAUAAGACUUGGAUAACUUCGGGAAACCGGAGCUAAUACCGGAUAAUAUAUUGAACCGCAUGGUUCAAUAGUGAAAGACGGUUUUGCUGUCACUUAUAGAUGGAUCCGCGCCGCAUUAGCUAGUUGGUAAGGUAACGGCUUACCAAGGCGACGAUGCGUAGCCGACCUGAGAGGGUGAUCGGCCACACUGGAACUGAGACACGGUCCAGACUCCUACGGGAGGCAGCAGUAGGGAAUCUUCCGCAAUGGGCGAAAGCCUGACGGAGCAACGCCGCGUGAGUGAUGAAGGUCUUCGGAUCGUAAAACUCUGUUAUUAGGGAAGAACAAAUGUGUAAGUAACUAUGCACGUCUUGUCGGUACCUAAUCAGAAAGCCACGGCUAACUACGUG